Molecule: long non-coding RNA, 3493 nt
Organism: Micropterus dolomieu (smallmouth bass)
Lineage: Eukaryota; Metazoa; Chordata; Actinopteri; Centrarchiformes; Centrarchidae
Exons: 3
Source: RefSeq, a predicted model, not a curated record
UGUGCCUAUGUAUCUUCAGCACUUGUAAAACUUGACUCAAAGGGCCCUUCUCUUUUUAACCAACUAAAUUCUCGGAAGAGCUUUGCAGACCUGUUGACAGAGCACCAGAGGCUGAUGGUGAAAAAGGAGCAGACCCGGUGAGCAAAGCUGCCCCAGGGGGCUGGGGGUCGGUGCUGGGUACACCCUCAGCGCCCUCAGCCUGCAUGCAUUUCUGGAGGGUAUGAGGCCACCUGGCCAAAGUCGGGAGCGGCAGUGAUUAAUUCACCUUGUUUAGGGUGCUGUCAUCGCAAUGAGAUGGACGAGGGCUCAGGAUGAUGGAUGAGGGCCGGAGCAAGGACUGAUAAGACAUGGCCCAUGAAUCUGUUCUACAUCAUCGGCUCCUUUGAUCACUGACAGAAGUUCAGAGAUGGGCCUGCGCAUCUGUCCAAACAAACAAAAGCCUCUUCCCUCCCAGAACCCUCCCUUACUAUCCCCCAGCUCCAAUACCCCGACUCUCAGGUUAGCUCUCACUUGUAAACAAACAGUGGAGAGACAAAAAUGGAAUGACAGAGAGGACAUCCAUCUGAGAGCAAGAUGAAGUGAUAAAGAAAGAAAGAGAGUGGGACAUGGAUUGAAAAAGACAGCGAGACAGACAGACAGAGAGAGAGAGAGAGAGAGAGAGAGCAAAGUAUCCAUAAGGGGUGGAGGCUUGGAGCCUGUGAACCAUGGCAGCAUGGUUUAAAGCCCCCCAAAAGGAGCCCUCCUCUGCAAUGACAGAUUCGGCAGAUAAGAGAUGAUCCAUGAAAGCCGAUCGGUGUGCUGACAGCAGGAGAGAGGCCUUGGCCCCGGCCGGCAGGGUGCAUUACUGUGGGCAAACGCAGCUGUCAGGGCCAAACGGGCCCUCAGCUUUCUGCCAUGCCACCACACUGACGUCACACAGCGAGAGCCAGGGCCUGUCCACCCCCUACUUCACUCCCUCCAGUCACCGAACACUGCAUUCCAGCACUGAAACAUUCCCAGGCCAGUCUAUUGCACAACUUCAUUUUGGGGUAUAUAUCAGCUGACAGGUGUUGAAAUUAACCUAUCUCAACCAUUCUCUGACAUAUUGACAAUGUGUAAAGGAAUGCAGGGGUGCACUGAGUGAAGGAUUUCUGACAGACUAAGGAGCUUUAGCACUAGUCUCAAGAUAGACAGACAGAAAUAUGGACAGCAUGGAGAAUGAGAUCCACUGUGUAAAACAGGAGACUUUCAUGUACUUUCCCUGCUGAACACGCGGCUGCACGGCGCUUAUUCCACCAGCCUCCUAAGAAAAUUACCCCAUCUACCAAGGGAGCUGAGAAAAAAGGAGUGCAGACGAUUCCCUCAAGGAAAUGAAAGGACAGCGUGAACACUGACAUUGUGGACAAGGACACCAGGACUUUAUAAACAGUACAUAGUGCAAGACCCACUAUAAGGAAAGUCAACUAUACAUAUCAUUUUCUAUGUAACCAUUCAAAGCUCUGUAUCUGUAUGAGAUAAGAGCUGGGUAAAUGUACUUCGUAGUUCUGACCUUGGUCUGAGAACUGAUCGCUUUGGUCUUUUUCUCUUUUUGAUCUUGUAUCUCUCAGAGUCCCGCUUCACCUCUGUCCAUGCUUAAACACCGUCUCUCUCUCUCUCUCUCUUCCUCUCACCCCCUUUUCCUCUCUACAUUCUCUUGCUCACCUUUCUACUCACAUUAUAAGCUGAGAUGAAUACAUGAAAAGAUUGGUGACCUUUUAAUGAAAAUGUCAGUAUUCCUGUAGUGGGGGAGAGGCAAGCUCUGUGUUUCAGAGACCAAGCACAGUCUCCAUGACACUUGAGCUUUCACAAACUCAACUAUAUGUUCCAUGACAGCUCCUAAGUGUCUCUUUUUCUUUGCCUUCAUGUCUCCAAGUUUUUUUUUUCUUCUGAGACCUUCUUUGGCUACUUGUCCUCUUUUUAAAAUUCAGGGUUUUUUUGUCCUCUGUCUGAAAUGGAUUUUCAGUAUUCCAAUAGCAGUAGCAAUAUGCAUGCCUGUCCUCUUCUGUCGAUCCUAUUCCUAUUUAUGAGCACUGCUAACUAAAAUAAAAGAAGGGCCAAGAGGACACAGUAAAGAUGUCAUAUAAAAACAUUCCAAAUCUCAUGCAGAAAAUGUGUUUUGCAUUAAUGUCAGGACCUUUACAAAGAAAGUGAAUGAAUACUUCCAUGGUGCUUUCUGCAGUAAUGUUUCAACUGGGCUUGACAAACAUUCAAACAUUCAAAAAAGUCACAAGGGCUAAUGUCACUUUGAUGUCUUCCUUUCUAGCACUCUAGCUUUGUCUCUUCUCUUACCUCUUGCUUAGAAAUUGUAAUGUAGAUCCUCCUGAGUGGCUUACUCUAGCAGGUGCCACACAGAGCAGUCAUGAUCAUUUGUCAACUGUACCUCUGCCUUUUGUCACGUUUUGUCUUCCGUCUCUAUUUUUAGUGUGGCGAAAAGACGACAAGGCGAAGGUGUACUUUAAGUAAGUGACAACCUGACGCCCAGCUUUAUUUGAUGCUUUUCAGAUCAAAGCCUCACUGCAGGGCACGCUAAUUUGAAGUCCACCGCAGUGAUGAUCGCUGUGCAUGAUUACCCCACAAUGGCACUCCUAUUAAUCACAUCACUCUGAUUAUUCUAAUUUGAUUUGACUCAAUGAUGCCUCCCCCCAGUAGUACCUCUCUCUUGUUCUGUCUCUCUCUCUCUCUCUCUCUCUCUCUUUCUCUCUCUCUCUCUCUCUCUCUCUCUCUCUCUCAUCACCGUCAUCACAACGUCUCCCAAUAAAACUGUCAAGUAGGGCGCCUGCUCUCCACAGUAAGUGGAUGACAUUUAAAAGGCUACAACAUGACUGACAGUGUACUCACAGAGGGAGGGAGUGAGAGUGCAGAGGGGGGAGGAAGACAAGGAGAGAGAGAAGAUGAGGGAAUGAGGGGAUGCCCAUGUUAAUACUUACAAAUGACUAAUGUCUCCCCCAGCAGGUGCCAUGGCCAGACAAACUGGAUAAAUAUUGAGAUUCCUCCGAGCACAGCAGCAUGCAAAAUGAAGCCCAACUGUUUCUGAUGCAACUCAGUAGAAGUGACUGGCCCUGCCGAAUAGCUUAGCCCUGUCUUUCCCCAUCACUCUGCUUGCCUAAUAGUUUUGUUUCUAGCCCAUCCAGACUUGCACAGGAUCCAUCUACUGUACGAAUAAUGUCUGGCUUUUGCUGUCAGCAUUUAUUGAUAUGUAAAGUUACAUAUGAACACAAACCAUGGACUACAUUUCAUGUGAACUAAUAGUAUACAUUUUUUGAAAAUGACUGAGGUGUGGUAUGAAUAUGUGAAUGUUAUGUAAUAUAUUAUUUUAAUGUGCAUUGGCUCUGCAUUGCAUAGUAAAACUUAAAUGAAAGAACUGUAAACAGGAUAUAAACCAAGCCCUCCUCAAAAGGUGAAAACAUUAUAUCUUUAAAAUGUCAGCUUUCCUGGAAUCAAAACAGCUUUGUUUUUUGAUUGACAACUGACAGCA